UUAUUUAGAGCUUGUACUACAUAGCAUCUUACUGUUACUAAGAAGAAAAGGAGGAACCCCUUUAAAUAAA
RNAcentral lists this transfer RNA (70 nucleotides) under Pandarus rhincodonicus. RNAcentral's name for it is "tRNA-Asn". The record is from RNAcentral. Lineage: Eukaryota; Metazoa; Arthropoda; Copepoda; Siphonostomatoida; Pandaridae.